RNAcentral lists this ribosomal RNA (469 nucleotides) under uncultured bacterium. RNAcentral's name for it is "bacterial SSU rRNA". It matches the Rfam family "Bacterial small subunit ribosomal RNA", at positions 335 to 799 of the family's 1533-position model. The record is from RNAcentral.
ACUCCUACGGGAGGCAGCAGUGGGGAAUAUUGCACAAUGGGGAAACCCUGAUGCAGCCAUGCCGCGUGUGUGAAGAAGGCCUCGGUUGUAAAGCACUUCAGUAGGGAGGAAGGUAGUGUAGUUAACACCUGCACUAUUUGACGUUACCUACAGAAGAAGCACCGGCUAACUCCGUGCCAGCAGCCGCGGUAAUACGGAGGGGUGCGAGCGUUAAUCGGAAUUACUGGGCGUAAAGCGCAUGCAGGCGGCCUGUUAAGUCAGAUGUGAAAGCCCGGGGGCUUAACCUCGGAAUUGCAUUUGAAACUGGCAGGCUAGAGUCUUGUAGAGGGGGUAGAAUUUCAGGUGUAGCGGUGAAAUGCGUAGAGAUCUGAAGGAAUACCAGUGGCGAAGGCGGCCCCCUGGACAAAGACUGACGCUCAGAUGCGAAAGCGUGGGGAGCAAACAGGAUUAGAUACCCUGGUACACAGAG